CACUGCAAGCCAUUGUUUAACUCAACAUCAAGAAAUGAUUAACACUUUAGAAGAGAGACUAGAAAGCAAUCUUACGAUCUGUGAGGAAAAAUUAUUAAAUUAAAAUGUAUUAUAAAGUUAAAUAUGAUAUGUGUGGUUAUUUCUAUACUGAUUUUUUUCUACUCUACUGCAAUUUAGAUGUACAAACAUAGAAAAUAUUUUCUAUUUUAUUUAUUUGGUUUUUAAAUACUCAUUGCAAAAAAUAACUAGGUUAUGUGCCCAAUCAUAUAAUAGAUUUUCAAAAAGCAAGAUAUUUCAUAUAUUCUAUUUAAAUUUAAUAAUAAAUUUCAUUAUAAAAAUCAAAAUAUUAGCACAGAAAAGUAAUGUAUUCAUGCACAUUAUGAAAGAUAGUUGCACAAUUGAAUGUAUAGGAAAAAAAUCCAUUUCUUUGACAAGUAACUAUUUUCUUGGAUAAAAAGCAAUUACUUAUUACUUAAAAUAUUUUCCCUCUACAUAAAAUAACAUGAUGCCCAAGAUAAUUUCUAUUCCACCCCAAAGAGAUUUAGUUAAGUCUUCUAUAGACCUUAUUUACAUAAAAAAAAUUGAGAAAUAUGUCUUCUUUUAGAAAGUAUUUCUAGAAAGUAUUUUAGUAAAGAAAAUUUUGACUUGGCUUAAGAACAGAAAAUAGAAUUUUUACCUUAAGCUGAGACAGUACAUGUUAUUUAUUAAAUCCAUUUUAAUUUCCCCUACUUUCUCUGAGUAAAGUUUCAUUAAUAACUAGGUAAUUGGUGAGGGAAGUGAUAUUGGAUGGAGUAUGGGGCUUAAGAUAACAGUGAAGAAACUGGGAUUAUCCUUAGGAUAUUUACUCAAAUAAUGAAAGAUGAGUCAACAAAGAUAAAUCCAACAGGAGGGAAUAUAGAUAUGAGGAGUGAAAAAAGAUGUACAUACUUUGGACAUGUUUGGUUGAGGUUCCUAUGGAAUAGUCAUGGAAAGGUGUCAGUUAACAGUUGAGAUCUCAUUCUGAAGUUUUAUAUACAACAGAGCUGAAAGACAUCAACACAUGGAGACUGAGAGCAAAUAAACUCAGCCAACACAGUAUAAUACAAUUAAUAAGAGCAUUAACGGAAUGCUGGGUGAUCCUAACAAUGAAAGCAAUGCCUCAGAAUCAUCAGAGAUAUAUUUUUGAAGAUUUAGGUUCAUGAAAUAUUCUUCAGAUCUACUUUGGCGAUAGGGCUCAAGAAUCUACUUUUAAUUUUUCUUUUAAAAUAACCAUUACAUGUGAUGUAAUGAAUAAGAUAGGUUGGGAUCCAUUGAUUUAUUUCAGUGAUAGAAGAAAAGAACAAAUAAGCAGGCCUAAUGUAAGGUCAAAAAGAAUGCCAAGAAAAUAAGAUCCCAUAAAGCAGGGGAGGAGAUCAAGUAGGGUUAAUUCUGCACGGAGGUCAGAUAACAAAAGAUCUGAAAUGUUUCUACUAGAUUUACAAGCCAGCAGUGAUAGGUAAUCUCUUCACAAACAGUAUCAGAGAGAUAGGAAGGAAAACUGUUGCAGUAAGAUUAUGGGGAAGUUGAAACAACAAAUACAGAUCCUUUUUCCACAAAGUUUACCAUAAAGGAAAAAUUUAAAUAAUGUAAUAUGCAUAACAGAAAGCAAAGUGAAGUGACAGAUUUUAAUUUUUAAGAGUGAAGAAGCUUAUUCAAAUAAACUAAAAAAUAUACUUUUUUUUAGGUUUUUUUUUUUUUUUCUUAGGACUCCACCAGCGCAUGUGGACUUUCCCAGACUAGGGACUGAACUGGAGCUAUACCCACUGGCCUACACCACAGCCACAUCAACACCAGACCAGAGCUGCAUCUGUGACCUGCACCACAGCUCAUGGCAAUGCCACAUCCGGGAUCCACUGAGCAGGGUCAGGGAUCAAACCCUUGUCCUCAUGGAUACUAGUUGGGGUCGUUACCACUGAGCCAUGAUGGGAACUCCCGAAAUAGACAUUUUUCUAGUCAAUGUAACAUCAAACGAACAGUCCUUUAACUAACUCAUCACUUUAUAACUCAUAAUUUCACAUUGUGGUUCUUAGUUCUUAGUUGAUAACUAAGAACUAAGUCUACCCAAAUGAACUUUUAAUUUCCUGUCAUUAUAGAGGUGGAGGCAGUAAGUGAUGCUAGAACUCACAUAUUAUUGAAAAACAAAAUAAUAGAUGGGGGCUCAAUUUUUUUUAAUGCUGACAAAUGUUUAAGCAAUCAUCAUCACCAGUUUACUACCAAUCUACUGGACCACAUGUUGUGAUCCUUGGUGUGUGACUAAAUUCUUAUAAGUAAUUCAACACAUCUAUCCUGAGAGCAAGGUAAGUGUCAGAAAGGUAGCUACAUCAUAAAAGUAUGUCUGGCUGUCACGUAUUGAUGACACCAACAAUCCCCUACAUAUGUGAGUCUUUUAGGAAAGGUUCCACUGAAUGCUUUAUGCUAUUGAGUUUUUUGUUCAAUACAGGCGAUUUGGGAAUAAGCAAAUAAAAGUCGAUGUUGUCUUCAAGUAAUCAUUUUUCUGGUGCUUGAUUCCCUCUGCCACUAUAUUUUUAUUGUGCUUGGGCAUUGAGGGUAGAAAUAAUUAAAAGGAUUUUCAUUUUCUAUGCUCCCUGUGUCUAGAAAGCAUCAAAUUAAUGUUUAAAAAAAUGUUUUCCUGAGUUGAUGCUUGUUGAAGAAGCAAAGGAAGAAGGUUUUUGCAGGAAGGCUCUUUGUAUGUUAUCAAAGUAAUGGCAAAGACUCCAUUGUUUGGAACAUUUGUCAUCCAUGCUUAAAUUAGCAAACAUGUGCAACCCCAUUCAAACUUGAGAAAAAAUGCUUUUAUUUGGGAUCUUCAUGGAAGUUAAUUGAAAGCUUGUCUGGAUUAAUUACCACACAAUAUUUCCAUAUAGAUGAGGCCAGGGCAAUAACUGCUGAAAUAAUGAGAUUUUUUUUUCCCCCUGCAGUCCAUUGUCUACCUCAACUCUCAGUGAAGAUUCUGGAAAAGGAUGUGCUUGCCAUGUGGGAUUCUAGUGGUAAAGCAAGUGCACUUGAUCAUCACAUAUGCUUUGGUUGUGAAGAUGAAAAUGCUUAUCGUUGUUGUUUGAUUAUUAUUAGUUGUAGCAAUAGUGCUGAUAACUCACCCUUGUUGGGGAAUGCUAAUCCUGGCUACUGGGCUAUUUUGUUGUAGUAUUUAAUUUAAUUCUUGUUGUGCCAAAUGUUAAUAUCUUUGUUUUACUGGUGAAGGAAAUGAAGAAUAAAUGUGUUAAAUAACUUGUCCAAAAUACACAGCUAAUACCAGGUAGAACAAAUAUUAGGACUAAUUUUGUCACAAUACUGAACUUGAGUUCUUACUCCCUGUUGCUUACUGUUUCUGAUUGAAUAUGGUAUAAUAUCUAGUCCAGCAUGACACUGUGAGAUGCCUUCAUGCUCAGAAUUGCAAUACCACAUUCUUUCGCACAUGACAAAGAUCAUCAUUAGCUUAGGCUGUUUAUAAUAACAAACAUAUUUUUGUGUAAUUUGUGUAAAAUGGGUGUAUACAUAUGUACAAAAUGAAUCAUUUUAGUAAUUUGUAUGACAUAAUUAACAAACAUAGGCUAUCCUGUUUAAAUGGCCAAGGCUGAUGACCAAGAGAAAAAAAGGAAUUUUGAUUAAAAAAAAAAAUAAUCAUCACAUAUGGCUAGUUCCCUGAGAAAGUUACAUAUAACAGUAAUACUCUAUGUCAAUACCUGGAGCUUAGAACACAAAAAAUUAAUAGGUAUAGAGAUUUCCUAGUGAAGAAAGAAAAGGCUUCUAGGUAAAUCAUAUGUCCUCUAAGACUGAAAGUCUAGGCUCUUAGUCUCAGUCCCUAUGUCGUUAAAACAAGCAAACAAAAAAACUCAGUGAGAAAUUAAAAUUUUUGUCUUACUAAAAGAGCAUCUUAAUAGAAUAUUUUGUUCUGACUCAGCACCUGCCUAUAUUUGACAGCUGUGGCAGUUUUGGGGGGGCUAAGAAAGAAAAAAUUAUAUAUAUUUUUUAAUCUUCACCACUUCUCCCCCCCCUUCUGCUGUUGUAGAAAAGGGUAAUUAUCCUUAAAUGUGCCCUUAUUUAGUGUUGGUGCAAAAACUGUAAGAAAAUGAUUUAUUAUCUGUGGAAAAGUGUUUUUGUUUGGGUAUCUUCGGAAAUAAAGAUUCAAGGAAGGUUUUUUUUUUUUGAGAAAUGAAGGAAAAGUCUGAUGGUAGUAGAAAAUGAGACAAAAAAAAAGUUAAAAAGGCAGUCAUCCAAGGGUGGGUUAUCAGACCAGUUACCACUGUGGGUACCUGGAGCUUAAUCCUACUGGAAAUCCUCUGGGAGCAAAAUAUAGAACAUUUGGCCAGGACUUAUCUCACCUAAUGCAUGAGAGAACUGAAGAAUUUAUAAGCCAACUUUCAUCAGCAAUUUUGGGAGUGGAGACAGUGGUAUUAAUAAAGAAGGAUUUCUGCUUUCUUUCCUUCGGGAAGAUUCGUUCUACAGAAAGCAGAGGUGCUUGCAGAAAAUUGAUUUUAGGAGUUUUGUUUACCAAAGCUUAAAGCCAUUGGAGAGAUUAUGGUUGAUACCCUUAGCAUGAGACAAAGCAGAGUCCAGCAUUAAGAGAGAGGUUCCAGCAUGCAGAUGGCCAAGAUCACCUCACACAAGUUAGAAUGGCCCUCAUCAAAAAGUCUGCAAAUAAUAAAUGCUAAAGAGGAUGUGGAGAAAACAAAACUCUCCUAUGUUGUUGCUACCAGUGUAAAUUGGUGCAACAACUAUAAAGAAUUGUAUAGAGGUUCCUCGAAAAACUAAAAAUAGAACUACCAUAUGAUCCUUCAGUUCCACUCCUGGGCCUGUAUUUGCAAAAGACAAAAAUUCUAAUUAGAAAAUAUUCAGGAGUUCUUGUCAUGGCUCAGUGGUUAACGAAUCCAACUAGGAACCAUGAGGUUGCGGGUUCGACCCCUGGCCUUGCUCAGUGGGUUAAGGAUCCAGUGUUGCCGUGAGCUGUGUUGUAGGUCGCAGAUGCGGCUCGGAUCCCGCAUUGCUGUGGCUCUGGCGUAGGCCGGCGGCUACAGCUCCGAUUAGACCCCUAGCCUGGGAACCUCCAUGUGCCACAG
RNAcentral lists this long non-coding RNA (5072 nucleotides) under Sus scrofa (pig). Its description in RNAcentral is "lncRNA (ENSSSCG00000059791.1)". The record is from RNAcentral. Lineage: Eukaryota; Metazoa; Chordata; Mammalia; Artiodactyla; Suidae.